GUAGUGUUCACUGGUCCAUCUCCUCUGCCUCCUUCCCAUUUUCCCCCAUAGCCCCACUCGUCUAACCCCCUCCUCUCCUUUUUCUUCUCCAUCUUCCCUCAGCAACAGCCACACCCCGGUGCUUCAGCUCCGCACACACAUCCACUGCAGACAGAGAGCUUCCCCCUUUGCAUCAAAUCACUCAAAGCCCUUUAGCAAUGACCUGACAUCACACCUUUAUACCUAUAUGUGCGUGUGUCCGUAUUUACAGGAGCUGCGUUGUGUUUUCUUUAUUUUUGUGUUUUUACACUACAAAGAUGUUGCACAGAUUCUACAUCAUCGCACACUGAAGCCACAUAAUCCGCCUUGCGCGCAGAGUUCUGCAUUUACGGUAGCUUCAUUUGCAACGGGGAGGGGCCACAGGGCCCCCAUACCGCUCUCAUUGUCACCACAGCUCUCUUCCCAUCCAAGGGCAUUAGUACCGCUCAGCAGCCUGAACCUCCAGAGAAGACGCCUCAGCUCGUCGCUUUCCAAUCUCAUUGAUUACCGACGACAGCUUUUCAACUUAGACACAACAGGUGACCCUUCCCCUCCCCGGUUUCCCAGCAGGCAGGCAUGGCAGACGGUCAGCAGCCAGAGGAGCACUGGGCCUCCAACGGCCAGGAGAAUGGCGAGAAUGGCUACUCCGCUUACAGCUCGGCCUAUAGAGAGAAUGGAUACCACGGGGGUGGGGCGACUGCGCAUCCUGGGACGUCAGUGGAUGACUCAGCCAAUUUGCCUCCCUCCCCUCCCCCCUCUCCAUCCGCUGAGCAGAUUGGGCCUGUGGCACAAGGUGUGGAGCACCAUCAGCCCCUCAGUGUGGCCCACCAGUCCAGGGAGAGGACCACUGAGAGAGCGUACCGGAGCCCCGAGAAGAAGUCGUCCCUCCCCAGGCCGGCCAAGUCUCUGA
Molecule: long non-coding RNA, 928 nt
Filed under: Oreochromis niloticus (Nile tilapia)
Lineage: Eukaryota; Metazoa; Chordata; Actinopteri; Cichliformes; Cichlidae
Description: lncRNA (ENSONIG00000036381.1)
Source: RNAcentral